Molecule: RNA transcript, 2697 nt
Organism: Capsicum annuum
Lineage: Eukaryota; Viridiplantae; Streptophyta; Magnoliopsida; Solanales; Solanaceae
Exons: 6
Source: RefSeq, a predicted model, not a curated record
CUUUGUUUGGCUAUAGAUGUGUUAUUUAGAGUAGUGAUUAAUGAAAUAACUAUGCUAAAUGUAGUGUUUCCAUUGUAUUGUAUUGUUCCUUCAAUCUGAUUUUCUGUACAUUUCAUGACUUUCAUUUGCACGAGUAUGCUUAUUGUUAUUGAUUAAUUAUUCUUUUAUUUUCCUAUUCUCAUGUUUCUAUUUUUAUAGCUUGAUUCAUUAGCCUUGAUAAUUGUAUUUCUUGUUGUUGUCCUUGCUUGUUUUUGUGGUACUUUUUUAAGUUAGGGGUAAGGUCUGCGUACACACAACCCUUCUUAGACCCCAAUGGAGGGGUUAUAGUGGGUAUGCUGUUGUUGCUUAGACUUAUGAGGUUCAUCCAGUUCUGUGGCUACUAACUAUUUCAUUGAAGAUGUGUUUGAAAUAUUAGAAUUGAUGCUCUACUUUUAUGAGGUUAAAACAUUUUUGGUCUGACUGUAACAAUCAAAGAUCAACAUUGUAGUAAGAAAUAGAAGUAUCUAAAAAGAGGUUAUUUUUCUUGCAUCAAUGACUAUUGAUUUACCAGUGCUCUGUCGGUCCAUUUAGUGGGUUCUCUCCCAAAAACAAAAUCAUACUAUACAUUGCGCAUACGUGACAGUGAGAAAGAUAAAAAAAUAUGUCAUGCCUAGGGAUGGCUUCUAGAUCUUAGUAAAAGAAAACAUACGAAACAACUUGCUAUGUAACUAGCAAGAACUAGCAAAUUUAUUUCUUUCAAUUGAGACAUUCUUGAAGAAUUGGGAGUUUUGUGGCAGUAUUAUCAUUGUAUCACGUAUGGCUAUGGCUACUGCAAAUAGGCUUGGACUAUUCGCAUUCUUGAUUACUGGGUUGGCCAUUUUCUUUUAAGUUGAGAAAGUGUUAGCUCUUGGCCUGAACCAAGUCUUCCUUAUAGAGCCUCUGUCUUGGCUGUGCUGAGUCUGACUUGCUUAAGCCUGCUAUCUUGGUCAUUCAUUGAUUUUCUUAAUCUCUGUCUGCUCCGUAGUUGCUACUUGGCUACUUGCUAUCGUAUGUUCUCAGUGGUCUUCUCUAUAUUUUUGUGUGUAUUUUUCCUCAUAUAUUAUGGAAUGCAGUAAAUAUGUCUUUUGAUUAUCCUGGCCUUAUCUUUCCUAUGAUGAAUUUAUUCGGAGUCAUGCAUGUUACAAUCACAGUAUCUCAGUAUGGCAAAGUGGCAGUGUUCUGUAAAAGAGUUGAAGAAUUUAUAUGAAGUCAUUAACAACCCGAAAAUAUUUGCCUCAUCUGUUGUAAAUAAAAGCUAAUUCACAUGGCCUAUUACAUAUGGAGCCUUUACUGCAACUCUCAUGCUAGGAGGAGGAUUGGUCUAUGUGAUUUCAACUCAUUCAUGAACUUCGAGCUGUGGUUGAAAGCAUAGAAAUCCUGAGAGAUAAUUUAUAGUUGUGAUGCUUCUUUAUACCUCCCGAUUCAGUGGAACUUGGUUUUUAUGAUACUUAUUUGUCACUUGUAGAGAUGGGCUUCUUGAUUUUCCAAUCAAUUAAAUAUGGUGUACAAUAUUGUGGGUUGACAUGUAGAAGUGAUCCUAUGUACUGAAACUCAAUAGACGCUUGCUCACUCAAAGAUGAAAGAAUGGUUGAAGAUCAUGGACAUGGAAAACUGGGGAAGCUUAAUGAAUGCCAGAAUCAAACUACACGUAGAUUCCAAGAGGCGGGUCCUUUGAACGCUAAAAAUGUACUAGGAGCAGAAAAUAGAAGGCCAGUUCCAAAAUGGGAGGCGAUCAUCCGAAGAACGUUAGACUGGAUGAAGGAACCUGAGACUAAGCUCAAGAGUUAUAGUGCCCUCUCCAGCUUUAAGGACUUCUCUGCUUCUGGCAUAGUUGCUGAUGCGGUUGAUGCUCCUGCAAUGGAUAUAAUUGAAGAGGCAUCCCUUGUCGUACCUUUGGUUUAGAAAGGAUUAGAGGAAGAUGAGAUCUUCGUUUAUGAUGGUGCCAAAAGUGAUAAUAUCUCGACUUCAGGUUCUUUUUGGGUCUAAUGUGACUAUAGCUGGGCAAGACCCAUCAUAUCCGGCUUGUCUGGAUUCAAGUGUUAUUACGGGCCAAACUGGUCAAUUUCAGUAGGAUGUGGAGAAGUAUGGAAAUAUUGCAUACAUGAGAUGUACUCCAGAAAAUGGGUUCCUUCCUAAUUUAUCCAGUGUUCCACGGACAGACAUAUUUUUCUGUUAGCCUAAUAAUCCAACUGAUGCGGCGGCAUCAAGAGAUCAACUGACUAAAUUGGUGCAAUUUGCUAAAGACAAUGGCUCAAUCAUUGCUUAUGAUUCUACAUAUGCUAUGUAUAUAUGUGAUGACAGUCCAAAGUCCAUCUUUGAGAUUCCUGGAGCCAAAGAGGUACUUGUGCUAUUUCAGUAUCAGAAUUCUUAAGAUCUUUUAGCCAAAGAAGGGUCUAUCGAAAAUAGUAUCUUUACCUCCCAAUAAUAUAGGGGUAAGGUUUGCAUAUACUCUACCAUCCUCGAACCCUAAUUGUGGAAUUACAUUGGAUAUUGUGGUGUUGUAAUAAUAUGACUGGGAUUGAUUAUUCUGACUGAGAUAGCCUGCAUUGAUGGAGAUUUUAUUAACUUUCUGGUAUUCAGUUUCGUCUUGUAUUUAGGAUUAAUUUUGUUCCAAGAUCAUGAAGCUUAAGAUGUACUUAUAUAAGUAACAUUUUUAUUAAGAUGCUUGGUUAAUUGUCA